This 90-nucleotide ribosomal RNA is filed under the name Streptococcus pneumoniae. Its description in RNAcentral is "partial 23S ribosomal RNA". It matches the Rfam family "Bacterial large subunit ribosomal RNA", at positions 2836 to 2925 of the family's 2925-position model. Lineage: Bacteria; Bacillati; Bacillota; Bacilli; Lactobacillales; Streptococcaceae. The record is from RNAcentral.
CCUGAGAGAUGAUCAGGUAGAUAGGUUAGAAGUGGAAGUGUGGCGACACAUGUAGCGGACUAAUACUAAUAGCUCGAGGACUUAUCCAAA